This 136-nucleotide ribosomal RNA is filed under the name uncultured bacterium. RNAcentral's name for it is "partial 16S ribosomal RNA". It matches the Rfam family "Bacterial small subunit ribosomal RNA", at positions 355 to 508 of the family's 1533-position model. The record is from RNAcentral.
UGGGGAAUAUUGGACAAUGGGGGCAACCCUGAUCCAGCAAUGCCGCGUGAGUGAUGAAGGCCUUAGGGUUGUAAAGCUCUUUCGCACGCGACGAUGAUGACGGUAGCGUGAGAAGAAGCCCCGGCUAACUUCGUGC